RNAcentral lists this ribosomal RNA (640 nucleotides) under uncultured Actinomycetes bacterium. RNAcentral describes it as "bacterial SSU rRNA". It matches the Rfam family "Bacterial small subunit ribosomal RNA", at positions 33 to 687 of the family's 1533-position model. The record is from RNAcentral. Lineage: Bacteria; Bacillati; Actinomycetota; Actinomycetes.
ACGCUGGAGGCGUGCUUACACAUGCAAGUCGAACGAUGAAGUGGAGCUUGCUCCACGGAUUAGUGGCGAACGGGUGAGUAACACGUGAAUAACCUGCCCUCAAUUUCGGAAUAACCCAGGGAAACCUGGGCUAAUACCGGAUACGUAAACCUGUGGCAUCACAUGGUUUUGGAAAGUUUUUCGAUUGAGGAUGGAUUCGCGGCCUAUCAGCUUGUUGGUGAGGUAAUGGCUCACCAAGGCGACGACGGGUAGCCGGCCUGAGAGGGUGGACGGCCACACUGGGACUGAGACACGGCCCAGACUCCUACGGGAGGCAGCAGUGGGGAAUAUUGCGCAAUGGACGAAAGUCUGACGCAGCGACGCCUCGUGAGGGACGAAGGUCUUCGGAUUGUAAACCUCUUUCAGCAGGGACGAAGCGAAAGUGACGGUACCUGCAGAAGAAGCACCGGCUAACUAUGUGCCAGCAGCCGCGGUAAUACAUAGGGUGCAAGCGUUGUCCGGAUUUAUUGGGCGUAAAGAGUUCGUAGGCGGUUUUUCGCGUCGGAUGUGAAAACUCAGGGCUCAACCCUGAGCCUGCAUUCGAUACGGGAAGACUCGAGGACGGCAGGGGAGACUGGAACUUCUGGUGUAGCGGUGGAAU